RNAcentral lists this transfer RNA (63 nucleotides) under Amynthas corticis. RNAcentral describes it as "tRNA-Gly". The record is from RNAcentral. Lineage: Eukaryota; Metazoa; Annelida; Clitellata; Crassiclitellata; Megascolecidae.
AUGUUUUUAGUAUAUAAAGUACACUUACCUUCCAAGUAAAAAGAUUAAUAAAUAAAAAACAUA